RNAcentral lists this ribosomal RNA (500 nucleotides) under uncultured bacterium. Its description in RNAcentral is "partial 16S ribosomal RNA". It matches the Rfam family "Bacterial small subunit ribosomal RNA", at positions 30 to 523 of the family's 1533-position model. The record is from RNAcentral.
AUUGAACGCUGGCGGCAGGCCUAACACAUGCAAGUCGAGCGGUAGAGAGAAGCUUGCUUCUCUUGAGAGCGGCGGACGGGUGAGUAAUGCCUAGGAAUCUGCCUGGUAGUGGGGGAUAACGUUCGGAAACGGACGCUAAUACCGCAUACGUCCUACGGGAGAAAGCAGGGGACCUUCGGGCCUUGCGCUAUCAGAUGAGCCUAGGUCGGAUUAGCUAGUUGGUGAGGUAAUGGCUCACCAAGGCGACGACCCGUAACUGGUCUGAGAGGAUGACCAGCCACACUGGAACUGAGCCACGGUCCAGACUCCUACGGGAGGCAGCAGUGGGGAAUAUUGUACAAUGGGCGAAAGCCUGAUCCAGCCAUGCCGCGUGUGUGAAGAAGGUCUUCGGAUUGUAAAGCACUUUAAGUUGGGAGGAAGGGUUGUAGAUUAAUACUCUGCAAUUUUGACGUUACCGACAGAAUAAGCACCGGCUAACUCUGUGCCAGCCGCCGCGGUAA